UCCCCGGCGCCGCCUGAUGCUCCCCGCGACGUUGCCCCGAGAGCGCCCUCGGCUAGCUGCUCGGUUCCGCGCGUCCCGUGCUGGAGCCGCGUGAUGCCCAGCGCCGCCGCGUCCAGUAGCACGCCAAGGUACGGAGCGCCGCCGUCGUCAUCUUCUCCGGCCAAACUUGGCCGCCAUGGUGAGCUCUCCGCGCCGAAGAGUAGCGCAGGAGCUUGGUGUUCCAAUUGGGGAUGAAGUUGGUUAUGCAUUUCAAUUUGAGGACAGAACUUCGGAGAGAACAUGCAUAAGAAGGAGAGCAACCAAGAGCGUUGAAGAUCAAAAGAGGAAGAGUUGAAGACUCUGAGCGGUUAUUCUUUGGAAGAAAGACAAGUGUUCCUUGAUCAUACUUUUGUCCUAAUAACCGCAAUAAAUACACUUUUUUAUGCAUGCAUAUGAAUUUUGAGGGAUCCUAAUUAAGGAUACAACUAGUCUUUAUGAUCAUUACUU
Panicum virgatum (switchgrass) is the source of this 486-nucleotide long non-coding RNA. RefSeq lists it as uncharacterized. The record is from RefSeq and is a predicted model, not a curated record. The transcript is spliced from 3 exons. NCBI's taxonomy places the organism in Eukaryota, Viridiplantae, Streptophyta, Magnoliopsida, Poales, Poaceae.